Molecule: ribosomal RNA, 305 nt
Filed under: uncultured bacterium
Lineage: Bacteria
Description: bacterial SSU rRNA
Rfam family: Bacterial small subunit ribosomal RNA
Source: RNAcentral
GCCUACGGGGGGCAGCAGUAGGGAAUCUUCCACAAUGGGCGAAAGCCUGAUGGAGCAACGCCGCGUGGGUGAAGAAGGUCUUCGGAUCGUAAAACCCUGUUGUUAGAGAAGAAAGUGCGUGAGAGUAACUGUUCACGUUUCGACGGUAUCUAACCAGAAAGCCACGGCUAACUACAUGCCAGCAGCCGCGGUAAUACGUAGGUGGCAAGCGUUAUCCGGAUUUAUUGGGCGUAAAGGGAACGCAGGCGGUCUUUUAAGUCUGAUGUGAAAGCCUUCGGCUUAACCGGAGUAGUGCAUUGGAAACU